This 148-nucleotide non-coding RNA is filed under the name Nomascus leucogenys (northern white-cheeked gibbon). The record is from Rfam by way of RNAcentral. Lineage: Eukaryota; Metazoa; Chordata; Mammalia; Primates; Hylobatidae.
GCCGGGCAUGGUGGCGCAUGCCUGUAGUCCCAGCUAUGUGGGAGGCUGAGUCAGGAGAAUUGCUUGAACCUGGGAGGCUGAGGUUGCUGUGAGCGGAGAUCAUGCCACUGUACUCCAGCCUGGGUGACAAAGUGAGACUCUAUCUCAA